This 86-nucleotide transfer RNA is filed under the name Gemmatimonadota bacterium. RNAcentral's name for it is "tRNA-Leu". It matches the Rfam family "tRNA". From Rfam's summary of the family: Transfer RNA (tRNA) molecules are approximately 80 nucleotides in length. Lineage: Bacteria; Pseudomonadati; Gemmatimonadota. RNAcentral also lists the same sequence under 6 other names. The record is from RNAcentral.
GCCCAGGUGGCGGAACUGGCAGACGCGCUAGCUUGAGGGGCUAGUGUCCUUUUACGGACGUGGAGGUUCGAAUCCUCUCCUGGGCA